RNAcentral lists this ribosomal RNA (433 nucleotides) under uncultured bacterium. RNAcentral's name for it is "partial 16S ribosomal RNA". It matches the Rfam family "Bacterial small subunit ribosomal RNA", at positions 29 to 507 of the family's 1533-position model. The record is from RNAcentral.
AACGAACGCUGGCGGCAUGCCUAACACAUGCAAGUCGAACGAGACCUUCGGGUUUAGUGGCUCACGGGUGCGUAACGCGUGGGAAUAUGCCCUUGUGUUCGGCAUAACAGUUGGAAAUGACUGCUAAUACCGGAUGAUGACGUAAGUCCAAAGAUUUAUCGCCUAAGGAUGCGGCCGCGUAGGUUUAGCUAGUUGGUGAGGUUAAGGGAUGCUAAGGCGAGGAUCCUUAGCUGGUCUGAGAGGAGGAUCAGCCAGACUGAGACAGGGACACGGCCCCGACUCGUGCGAGAGGCGGCGAUGGGGGAUAUUGGGGAAGAAGCGAGAGCCUGCACCGGCGAGGCCGCGUGAGUGGUGAUGGCCUUGGGGUUGGAAAGCUCUUUUGACGGAGAUGAUAGUGACGGUAGCGGGAGAAUAAGCACCGGCUAACUCCGUG